RNAcentral lists this long non-coding RNA (686 nucleotides) under Physcomitrium patens. Its description in RNAcentral is "long non-coding RNA (PPAT_LNC007267)". The record is from RNAcentral. Lineage: Eukaryota; Viridiplantae; Streptophyta; Bryopsida; Funariales; Funariaceae.
AAUUUCCGCGACUCGCAGACGAGCUCUGAUGGGGCAUUUCCAUGCAGAGUUUUGUCUUCGGAAGAAGCGGAGCCUCCAAGGUACCAGACACCCGACGUCGAAGGCCCGAAUGCCUGGUCUCAUUCAUCCAUUUUGGACGAAGUAGGUCCGUAUGACGAAUGAUUGGAUGGAUGUCGUUAUCUGUGCGCGGUCCUAAGGUUUUCUUAUUUGGUUUUGGGUCCCUGGGAGAAAAAAAUAAAAAUAAAAAUAAAACACUCCUAACUAUGUGUCUAUUUCACCCAUGAAAUAAUACCAUCAUUUUAAUUUUGGAUUAUUGCAGCAUUGUAGGAAAAUAACAAGACAAAACAAAUAACAUGCGGAGGCAGGACAGGUGCAACAACCUCAAUAAACAAUGAAGGUCCCAAACAAAAAUUGAAAUUCAGGCAAAUAUACCCCGAAAAUUUUCUUAUAUGUGUAAAUUUCAUUGAAAUCAAAUUUUCUAAUUAUAAAAAUAAAUAUCCAAAAUAUCUGAAUGCUGUAAAAAUUCAAAAGCAGAUAUUUAGUGACGGAAAAUUAACAUACAAAUUUGACUUGAAAAGCAUAAAGGUUGUAUUACUUAUUUGUUAAUUUAUGAGUAAACAAGGGAAUAUUAAAAUUAAUUUACAUACAAUACAUGUGUUAAAAAUAAAUGAAAAUAUAUAGUAUCU